This 464-nucleotide ribosomal RNA is filed under the name uncultured bacterium. RNAcentral describes it as "partial 16S ribosomal RNA". It matches the Rfam family "Bacterial small subunit ribosomal RNA", at positions 338 to 795 of the family's 1533-position model. The record is from RNAcentral.
CCUACGGGUGGCAGCAGCCAGGAAUCUUGCGCAAUGGGCGAAACCCUGACGCAGCAACGCCGCGUGGGCGAUGAAGGCCUUCGGGUCGUAAAGCCCUGUUGUCGGGGACGAAAGUCGAAGGGUUAAUAGUACCUAGCCUGACUGUCCCCGACUCAGACGCCCCUGCGAAAUAAGUGCCAGCAGCCGCGGGAAUACGUAGGGGGCGAGCGUUUUCCGGAAUCAUUGGGCGUAAAGAGCGCGUAGUCGGCACGGUAAGUCCGCGGUGAACCCCCGGGGCCCAACCCCUGGACGGCAGGGGAAACUGCGGGGGUAGAGGGCGGCAGGGGCGAGUGGAAUUCCCGGUGUAGCGGUGAAAUGCGCAGAUAUCGGGAGGAACACCGGUGGCGAAGGCGGGUGGCUGGGCCGUAACUGACGCUGAGGCGCGAAAGCCAGGGGAGCGAACAGGAUUAGAUACCCUAGUAGUC